GUGCCAGCAGCCGCGGUAAUACCGGCAGCCCGAGUGAUGGCCGAUAUUAUUGGGCCUAAAGCGUCCGUAGCUGGCCGAACAAGUCCGUCGGGAAAUCCACGUGCUUAACGAGUGGGCGUCCGGCGAAAACUGUGCGGCUUGGGACCGGAAGAUCCAAGGGGUACGUCCGGGGUAGGAGUGAAAUCCCGUAAUCCUGGACGGACCACCGAUGGCGAAAGCACCUUGGAAGGACGGAUCCGACAGUGAGGGACGAAAGCUAGGGUCUUGAACCGGAUUAGAUACCCGAGUAGUCC
This 293-nucleotide ribosomal RNA is filed under the name uncultured bacterium. RNAcentral describes it as "partial 16S ribosomal RNA". It matches the Rfam family "Archaeal small subunit ribosomal RNA", at positions 455 to 747 of the family's 1478-position model. The record is from RNAcentral.